RNAcentral lists this ribosomal RNA (478 nucleotides) under uncultured bacterium. RNAcentral describes it as "partial 16S ribosomal RNA". It matches the Rfam family "Bacterial small subunit ribosomal RNA", at positions 28 to 523 of the family's 1533-position model. The record is from RNAcentral.
GACGAACGCUGGCGGCGUGCUUAACACAUGCAAGUCGAACGGUAAGGCCCUUCGGGGUACACGAGUGGCGAACGGGUGAGUAACACGUGGGUGAUCUGCCCUGCACUUCGGGAUAAGCCUGGGAAACUGGGUCUAAUACCGGAUAGGACUCCUGGCUUCAUGGUUGGGGGUGGAAAGCUUUUGCGGUGUGGGAUGGGCCCGCGGCCUAUCAGCUUGUUGGUGGGGUAAUGGCCGACCAAGGCGACGGCGGGUAGCCGGCGUGAGAGGGUGACCGGUCACACUGGGACUCGGAUACGGCCCAGACUCCUACGGGAGGCAGCAGUGGGGAAGAUUGCACAAUGGGCGCAAGCCUGAUGCAGCGACGCCGCGUGAGGGAUGACGGCCUUCGGGUUGUAAACCUCUUUCAGCUAUGACGAAGCGCAAGUGACGGUAGUAGCAGAAGAAGGACCGGCCAACUACGUGCCAGCAGCCGCAGUAA